GCUGUCUGUGAUGUUUUCCAUCUUACCUGCCUUGUUUGAAUAGUGACAUUGAAAAUAAACAAGAUGUCUGAGACAUGC
Molecule: small nucleolar RNA, 78 nt
Organism: Amphiprion ocellaris (clown anemonefish)
Lineage: Eukaryota; Metazoa; Chordata; Actinopteri; Pomacentridae
Product: small nucleolar RNA SNORD34
Exons: 1
Source: RefSeq, a predicted model, not a curated record